AUAAAUACUGAUAAAGUUGAGGAAUGCACAUCAAACACUUAUUUGGAACAUCCCACAGGUGUGCAGGCUAAUUGGGAACAGGUGGGUGCCAUGAUUGGGUAUAAAAACAGCUUCCAAAAAAAUGCUCAGUCUUUCACAAGAAAGGAUGGGGCGAGGUACACUCCUUUGUCUACAACUGCGUGAGCAAAUUGUUGUGUACAGGCAAAGGGAAAGAGGCAACACCAGGACUGAACUGCGGUUUUAGAAGGUUUAUUAAAACCUUUGAUGAAUGUGUGGGGUGUGGAUGCUACCACUAGAGAAUGAAUGCGGACGAUGUGUGGAAAUAACAAUGUGGAAUUUACCAGAGGGUGUUGUCUUUGAGUGUUGGAUGUAUCUUUCGUCGAAUCCAAGGGGGAAGGCAAAGAGGCAGUCAACAGUGAGGCAAGCGGUCGGGGGCUGGAGGGAGGCAACGAUGUCCGGUUCUAAGCAGUGGUCAAGGAUCAGGGAGGGCAAGCAAAGAUCCAGGAGGAGGUCGUGAGGCAGGACACGAUCACAGAAGACACUGUGGGAAACACAAAAGACAUCAAGUUGGGACAGAGGAAGAGCAGAAGAAGGCGAGCAAAGAAAAAGGGAGUGGUGCCAGACGUGAUGCUUACACAAGGGAGAUUGGCUACGAUCUGGCGAAGGCUCGUUGCCGCGUGGGCGUGCUGCGCUCAGCACAAGUGGGGACGUGUCUGAGCAUGCUGUCAACGGAGGAACGCCUUGGCGCGCUGUCAGUGGAGGCGUCCGCAGAUCCAGCCGCAGAGGAAACGCGGGUUCGACUCCGUGCCAUGACACAAAUAGUCAAACAGUUUAACAAAUUUAGGGAUUUCAACAUCUAUGGUUCAUAAUAUCAUCAAAAGGUUCAGAGAAUCUGGAGAAAUCACUCCACGUAAGCGGCAUGGCCGGAAACCAACAUUGAAGGACCGUGACCUUCGAUCACUCAGAUGGCACUGUAUCAAAGCAGACAUCAAUCUCUAAAUGAUAUAAACACAUGGGCUCAGGAACAUUUCAGAAAACCACUGUCAAUAAAUACAGUUGGUCGCUACAUCUGUAAGUCCUAGUUAAAGCUCUGCUAUGCAAAGCGAAAGCCAUUUAUCAACAACAUCCAGAAACGCCACCGGCUUCUCUAAAAUGGACCGGUGCAAAGUUGAAAAGUGUUCUGUGGUCUGACGAGUCCACAUUUCAAAUUAUUUUUGAAAAUAUUCGACAUUGUGUCAUCCGGACCAAAAGGGAAGCGAACCAUCCAAACUGUUAUCGACGCAAAGUUCAAAAGCCAGGAUCUGUGAUGGUAUGGGGGUGCAUUAGUGCCCAAGGCAUGGGUAACUUACACAUCUGUGAAGGCUCCAUUAAUGCUGAAAGGUAAAUACAGGUUUUGGAACAACAUAUGCUGCCAUCUAAGCGCCGUUUUUUUCAAGGGCCCCUGCUUAUUUCAGCAAGACAAUGCCAAGCUACAUUCAGCACGUGUUACAACAGCGUAGCUUCGUAAAAAACGAGUGCGGGUACUUUCCUGGCCCGCCUACAGUCCAGACCUGUCUCCCAUCGAAAAUGUAUGGCACAUUAUGAAGCGUAAAAUACGACAGCGGAGACUCCGGACUGUUGAACGACUGAAGCUGCUCUACAUAAAACAAGAAUGGGAAAUUAUUCCACUUUCAAAGCUUCAACAAUUAGUUCCUAAACGUUUAUUGAGUGUUGUUAAAAGAAAAAGUGAUGUAACUCAGUGGUGAACAUGCCCUUUCCCAACUACUUUGGCACGUGUUGCAACCACGAAAUUCAAAGUUAAAUGUUAUUUACAAAAAAAAAAUCUUAUGAGUUUGAACAUCAAUA
Nerophis ophidion (straightnose pipefish) is the source of this 1845-nucleotide long non-coding RNA. RefSeq lists it as uncharacterized. The record is from RefSeq and is a predicted model, not a curated record. The transcript has 2 exons. Lineage: Eukaryota; Metazoa; Chordata; Actinopteri; Syngnathiformes; Syngnathidae.